UACAGAGGGUGCAAGCGUUGUCCGGAAUCACUGGGCGUAAAGGGCGCGUAGGUGGUUUGGUAAGUGUGUGGUGAAAGCCCGGGGCUCAACCCCGGGUCUGCCGCGCAAACUGCUAAACUUGAGCAUACUAGAGGCAGGUUGAAUUCCGGGUGUAGCGGUGGAAUGCGUAGAGAUCCGGAAGAACACCGGUGGCGAAGGCGGCCUGCUGGGGUAGAGCUGACACUGAGGCGCGACAGCGUGGGGAGCAAACAGG
RNAcentral lists this ribosomal RNA (253 nucleotides) under uncultured Gemmatimonas sp. RNAcentral describes it as "partial 16S ribosomal RNA". It matches the Rfam family "Bacterial small subunit ribosomal RNA", at positions 524 to 776 of the family's 1533-position model. Lineage: Bacteria; Pseudomonadati; Gemmatimonadota; Gemmatimonadia; Gemmatimonadales; Gemmatimonadaceae. The record is from RNAcentral.